GAUGAACGCUGGCGGCGUGCCUAAUACAUGCCAGUCGAGCGAACAGACGAGGAGCUUGCUCCUCUGACGUUAGCGGCGGACGGGUGAGUAACACGUGGAUAACCUACCUAUAAGACUGGGAUAACUUCGGGAAACCGGAGCUAAUACCGGAUAAUAUAUUGAGCCGCAUGGUUCAAUAGUGAAAGACGGUUUUGCUGUCACUUAUAGAUGGAUCCGCGCCGCAUUAGCUAGUUGGUAAGGUAACGGCUUACCAAGGCGACGAUGCGUAGCCGACCUGAGAGGGUGAUCGGCCACACUGGAGCUGAGACACGGUCCAGACUCCUACGGGAGGCAGCAGUAGGGAAUCUUCCGCAAUGGGCGAAAGCCUGACGGAGCAACGCCGCGUGAGUGAUGAAGGUCUUCGGAUCGUAAAACUCUGUUAUUAGGGAAGAACAAAUGUGUAAGUAACUAUGCACGUCUUGACGGUACCUAAUCAGAAAGCCACGGCUAACUACGUG
This 497-nucleotide ribosomal RNA is filed under the name uncultured bacterium. RNAcentral describes it as "partial 16S ribosomal RNA". It matches the Rfam family "Bacterial small subunit ribosomal RNA", at positions 28 to 507 of the family's 1533-position model. The record is from RNAcentral.